Molecule: non-coding RNA, 808 nt
Filed under: Pristimantis bicantus
Lineage: Eukaryota; Metazoa; Chordata; Amphibia; Anura; Strabomantidae
Source: RNAcentral
AAAUCAAGACUUACACAUGCAGUCUCCGCACACCCGUGAGAACGCCCUCAUACCCACUUAGGAAUCAGGAGCUGAUAUCAGGCACAAUAAUUUGCCCAAAACAUCUAGCCAAGCCACACCCACACGGGCCCUCAGCAGUGAUUAAUAUUAAGAUUAAACGUAAGUUUGACUUAGUUAAUGAAAACAGAGCCGGCCAAUCUGGUGCCAGCCGCCGCGGUUACACCAAGUGGCUCAAAUUGAUGUUGCGCGGCGUAAAGCGUGAUUAAAGAAGGACCCCCCCCCCAUUCARACUAAACUUAAACUAAGCUGUAGUACGCUUGUUUUUAGGAAACCCACAUUUCGAAAGAUAUCUCAAUACACCAACUUGAAUUCACGAUAACUAGGACACAAACUGGGAUUAGAUACCCCACUAUGCCUAGUCGUAAACUUUAAAUUACACCCACAUCGCCCGGGAACUACAGCAAAGCUUAAAACCCAAAGGACUUGACGGUACCCCACACCCUUCUAGAGGAGCCUGUCCUAUAAUCGAUACUCCACGUUCAACCUCACCAUUUUUAGCCUUUCACCUAUAUACUUCCGUCGCCAGCUUACCGCGUGAGCGAUCUAGUAAGCUCAAUGUCCAAUCACCAGCACGUCAGGUCAAAGUGUAGCAAAUAAAAUGGGAAGAGAUGGGCUACACUCUCUAUUGUAGAAAACACGAAAAACUAUGUGAAAUCAUAGCUGGAAGGCGGAUUUAGUAGUAAAAAGAGAAUAGAAUACCCUUUUAACUCGGCACUGGGGUGUGUACACACCGCCCGUCACCCUCUUC